AGGGACAGGGACUCACCCAAGGUCACACAGCCAGUCUUGGAUUCAAACUUGAGAGUUUGUAACCCUUUCUAAUGAUCAGGACCUCCCAGAGUUGCCCAAACUUCUGACCCAGACUCUUCAGAGGCCUGCGCGGAGGAAGAGGAAGGGCUCAUGCCUCAAGGUCCCCAGCUCCUGGACUUCAGCGUGGACGAGGUGGCCGAGCAGCUGACCCUCAUAGACUUGGAGCUCUUCUCCAAGGUGAGGCUCUACGAGUGCUUGGGCUCCGUGUGGUCGCAGAGGGACCGGCCGGGGGCUGCAGGCGCCUCCCCCACUGUGCGCGCCACCGUGGCCCAGUUCAACACCGUGACCGGCUGUGUGCUGGGUUCCGUGCUCGGAGCACCGGGCUUGGCCGCCCCGCAGAGGGCGCAGCGGCUGGAGAAGUGGAUCCGCAUCGCCCAGCGCUGCCGAGAACUGCGGAACUUCUCCUCCUUGCGCGCCAUCCUGUCCGCCCUGCAAUCUAACCCCAUCUACCGGCUCAAGCGCAGCUGGGGGGCAGUGAGCCGGGAACCGCUAUCUACUUUCA
RNAcentral lists this long non-coding RNA (562 nucleotides) under Homo sapiens (human). Its description in RNAcentral is "non-protein coding lnc-CCDC151-3:1". The record is from RNAcentral. Lineage: Eukaryota; Metazoa; Chordata; Mammalia; Primates; Hominidae.